This 335-nucleotide ribosomal RNA is filed under the name uncultured Sphingobacteriales bacterium. RNAcentral's name for it is "bacterial SSU rRNA". It matches the Rfam family "Bacterial small subunit ribosomal RNA", at positions 1048 to 1382 of the family's 1533-position model. Lineage: Bacteria; Pseudomonadati; Bacteroidota; Sphingobacteriia; Sphingobacteriales. The record is from RNAcentral.
CGUGUCGUCAGCUCGUGCCGUGAGGUGUCGGGUUAAGUCCCAUAACGAGCGCAACCCUUACCGUUAGUUACCAUCAGGUUAAGCUGGGGACUCUAGCGGGACUGCCACCGUAAGGUGAGAGGAAGGUGGGGAUGACGUCAAAUCAGCACGGCCCUUAUGUCCAGGGCUACACACGUGUUACAAUGGCCGGUACAAAGGGCAGCUACUUCGCGAGAAGAUGCUAAUCUCGAAAGCCGGUCUCAGUUCGGAUCGAAGUCUGCAACCCGACUUCGUGAAGCUGGAUUCGCUAGUAAUCGCGCAUCAGCCAUGGCGCGGUGAAUACGUUCCCGGGCCUU